AUUGAACGCUGGCGGCAGGCAUAACACAUGCAAGUCGAGCGGAGCGGAUGACGGGUGAGUAAUGCCUAGGAAUCUGCCUGGUAGUGGGGGAUCACGUCCGGAAACGGGCGCUCCUACCGCGGACUAUCAGAUAGGACUAGGGCGGAUUAGCUAGUUGUGGGGGUAAAGGCCUACCAAGGCGACGAUCCGUAACUGGGCUGAGAGGAUGAUCAGUCACACUGGAACUGAGACAAGGUCCAGACUCCGACGGGAGGCAGUAUUGGGGAAUAUUGGACAAUGGGCGAAAGCCUGAUCCAGCCAUGCCGCGUGUGUGAAGAAGGUCGUCGGAUUGUAAAGCACUUUAAGUUGGGAGGCGUUACCAACAGAAUAAGCACCGGCUAACUUCGUGCCAGCAGCCUCGGUAAUUC
This 407-nucleotide ribosomal RNA is filed under the name uncultured bacterium. RNAcentral's name for it is "partial 16S ribosomal RNA". It matches the Rfam family "Bacterial small subunit ribosomal RNA", at positions 30 to 526 of the family's 1533-position model. The record is from RNAcentral.